AGCUGCCGACCGAUUAACUGACUGAGCGAGCCACCGAUUUAUAAACGUACAUAAUUUCUGACUGGCAACAGUGCCAGCGGUAGCAACAAGAGUAGGAAGUUAAAAAAACACCGCUUUUAAUUCUCUUUAAUUCCGCAUCACAAAAACACAAGCUUUUUCUUCAAUAAAGCUUGCAACCACAUUUUAUUUAUUCCCUAAAUGAAAUAAACUUUAAACAUACAAGACAGAGAUAGUGAACCUUGAAGACGCCGUCGACGUUGUCAACGAUUCUUUGAAGAAACCGAAGAUGAAUCCAAUUUAAAUAAUAAUAGGCAAAAAAGUAAUAAUAAAUCCACUACCGCUCCGCACAAAACUUGAAACGGCACUAGGGCACUUGGUGUCUUAGUAUUAUUUUUGGUAUCCCCUGUUCCACUUACCACCACCAAAAUUGAUUUCCAUUCUCUUCUUCGAUGGAUUUUUGUACUCUGCGAGCUGUGAGAAGAAUGGGGAAGACUGCUGCUUUCUGCUUGCUGCUGCUUCUGGCGACACACGAAAAGUAAAAGAAAUGGACGAGUGAGGGGUGGCUUCUGUGUUAUAUUAUUUAUUUUUUAGUCUAUUUUAUAUUUUAGAUUUUGGUUAAAAAAUGAUAGCGGUUUUUGAAAUAUAAAAGGUUUUUGAGAAGAAAAACAACUACACGAGACCCAGCUGGGACUUGUGGUGGUGGUUCUUUUCAUGCGACACUUUUAUUAUAUUUUUCCUUGAA
Molecule: long non-coding RNA, 742 nt
Organism: Eupeodes corollae
Lineage: Eukaryota; Metazoa; Arthropoda; Insecta; Diptera; Syrphidae
Exons: 2
Source: RefSeq, a predicted model, not a curated record